Labrus mixtus (cuckoo wrasse) is the source of this 2180-nucleotide long non-coding RNA. RefSeq lists it as uncharacterized. Lineage: Eukaryota; Metazoa; Chordata; Actinopteri; Labriformes; Labridae. The record is from RefSeq and is a predicted model, not a curated record. The transcript is spliced from 6 exons.
CAGACAGGGAAGUUAGUGGUCUGUGCGUUUGCACUCAGAAGGGGGGAAGACAUGAGACCUAUACACGAGCAGGCUCUUCUGUUGAUGCGGGACACACUUUACACAUCAGCCAGAAAAAAGGGGUAAAAGAGGAUCCUGUUGGGGAAGCCCUUCCUGCAGAUCCUGAUGCCCUCCAGCACACCGUUACAGCGCAGCUGGUGCAUCACCAGAGGGUUCUCCAUGGCCCCAGGAGUCUUGGUCUCAUUGGGGAUGAUGCAACGCACAAAGUGAGGACAGUGGAUCUCUGUGAGGAAGUCCUGAGUGCUGCUUGUCUCCUCAUAAUGCAAUUACCAGGACAGAAAGAAAAGAUGUGUCUCGACUCUCGAAGGACUGUUCUCCUGAAUACAGCGAUCUGUCAGUCCGACGUCUUCAUCAGUCCUGCAUCUUUUUCCUCUUCUAGCAGAGCCCGCCCUGCUUCAUACCGAGACAGACUGGCCUCCUCUUUAUAAGAUAGAAACCUCUGUUUGAAAUCUGCAUAGAGGAUCCUGUUUGGGAAGCCCUUCCUGCAGAUCCUGAUGCCCUCCAGCACACCAUUACAGCGCAGCUGGUGCAUCACCAGAGGGUUCUCCAUGGCCCCAGGAGUCUUGGUCUCAUUGGGGAUGAUGCAGCGCACAAAGUGAGGGACAAAGAUAACCCUGUGAAAUUCUUGUCUGGAUUCUUUCUGCUUGAGAAGGGCAGCGGUGCAGAGUCUGAUGUCAUGAUGGAUGAAGAGGAACAGGUGGAAGCAUCACACUAAAAAUACACCCUUUAACCUCCCUCAAGAAAUCUUCAUGUUUAUCAUGUUGUUACUUAAUUAAUUGAUGUCCAUGCAACUUUUUCCCUGUCUUUUAUGGCACAUUACUCAAAGAGACGCUUUUAGACUCAAAUGGAAAGAGGGUCGGAUUUGAACCUGGGCUGCCCACUUGGACUUUUGCAGGACUUUGGCCUCUGUACAUGGGAUGUGCGCACCAACCACUAGUUCAAGGAAAAACAAAAAUAAAUACUUUUGGAUAGUUUUGUCCGUCUUGCUUUCCACUAGCGAUGACACCGCAGAUGUUCCGAUAACGCCUGUAAAAUGGGAAUAUAGAGCAUUUUCCAUUUUCCAACGGAGCGUUCAAAUCUUGAUCUGAAUUUGCUCUGACGUUGUUGAUCUAAUUCUCAUUCUCAGUUGAGUACAUGUGGGAAUCGUCCUCUGAUCCAGACACCUGUGAGGUAAGGCCAAUUGUCGGCUGCUCAAAUCUGAGUUAAAGAACAAAUGGUGUCACCUUGAUGUGCUACAUGGUGUGUGAUUAAUCCAGAAGCAUUUCUAAACACUUAAAGUCCUGCAUGUGUGUACAUUAGACACAGCUCAAAGGUUGUUCUACGAGGGACAGAUAAUCAAAACCAAAGCGUAUGCUGAGCUUUGUUUGUGUGUUUGUUUUUCUAUGAGUCUAAAAUCUGAUGAAAUAUCUUAAUCCCUUAAAGGACAGGGCCAUAUGAGAUCGAGCUCCCACCCUCAGCCUCGUGUCAAGCUGCUUGCUCCCAUCACUUGGCUCCCUCUAACAGACAUCAUCGAAUCAUCCUUUGUGCUGCUGUGGAAGGACGAUGUACGGUGAGUCUGUCAGCAAGCUUUAGAAUAAACGUGAAUGUAUUUAAAUCACCCUCUCAAUAAUUCUUUAGGACAUUUAGCAUUAAAUAUGUGUUUAACUUUUAGCUUUAUAUUCCUUUCUGUCGUUUUUUUAUUUGUCAAUCGAGUGAUUGUUUAAAAACAGAGAAUGUGUUUUAAUUGAAGGAGUUUUUUUGAUUAAUGUGAAUAUUUUAUGGCAGCUAUUUUGCCCCUGUAACUUUGUUAAAUGUUGCUCAGUGCUCAUGAUGGAUUAACGUUGGGUCUUUGUAGAUGAUAUAACAAAGAGAAAGCACUUUUACCUGCUUUUUGUAAAGUGUCUGCACAUAACAUUUGUUAUGAAUUGGUGAUUUACAAAUAAAUUUUAACUGAUCUGCUAAAUGAUUGAAAGUCUGUGAGAGCUUUAGAAAAGUUUGUACACUUUAAUAUGAAGGUCACAAUAUUUCCCAUUGACUAGUUGCUCAUUAGCAUGCUAAUUAGUAGCAUUCUGGCUGCUUAUAAGUCUUUAUUAAGUGCGUAUUAUUACUUUAUUCUCUAUGACCACAGUCUGUAGCUAACA